RNAcentral lists this ribosomal RNA (441 nucleotides) under uncultured bacterium. RNAcentral describes it as "partial 16S ribosomal RNA". It matches the Rfam family "Bacterial small subunit ribosomal RNA", at positions 338 to 795 of the family's 1533-position model. The record is from RNAcentral.
CCUACGGGCGGCAGCAGUGGGGAAUAUUGCACAAUGGGGGAAACCCUGAUGCAGCAACGCCGCGUGAGUGAGGAAGUAUUUCGGUAUGUAAAGCUCUAUCAGCAGGGAAUAGAAAAGAAGGUACCUGAGUAAGAAGCACCGGCUAAAUACGUGCCAGCAGCCGCGGUAAUACGUAUGGUGCAAGCUUUAUCCGGAUUUACUGGGUGUAAAGGGAGCGCAGGCGGCACGGCAAGCCUGAUGUGAAAGCCCGCGGCCCAACCGCGGGACUGCAUUGGGAACUACCGGGCGGGAGUGCCGGAGAGGUAGGCGGAAUGCCUAGUGUAGCGGUGAAAUGCGUAGAUAUUAGGAGGAACACCAGUGGCGAAGGCGGCCUACUGGACGGUGACUGACGCUGAGGCUCGAAAGCGUGGGGAGCAAACAGGAUUAGAUACCCGGGUAGUC